AAGAAGAAGAAGAAGAAGAAGAAGAAGAAGAAGAAGAAAGAUAAAGAAGAAUAGUGUUGAACUUGAUUUCCUUUUAGUAUGAAGAAGAAGAAAUAAGAGUCUUGUGGAAGAAUAAGAGAGACAAUUUUCUUGGAUGUGGAAGAGAGAUGUUAGGGUUUUGUGUUUUGAACGAGACAAUUAUUCUUUAUUGAAGCUUGAUAACUUCACUUAUAUAUAUAUAUAAAACUUAUCACCACGGUUGGUAUGAAAAAUUG
Molecule: long non-coding RNA, 254 nt
Filed under: Lathyrus oleraceus (garden pea)
Lineage: Eukaryota; Viridiplantae; Streptophyta; Magnoliopsida; Fabales; Fabaceae
Description: Pisum sativum (pea) long non-coding RNA (PSAT_LNC028309)
Source: RNAcentral